GUUGAGGAGUUCCUCCCUAAAGGUAAAAGAAAAGACAUCAAUCACAGUGAAACUGCAUUUCAACAGUGGGUCAUUCCAUCAUAAACUCAAGUCUUAUGAAUGUAAAUUCUAGAAUUAUAAAGAAAUAACAGGUUAUUCUAUUUUAACUUCAUCCUACAGUAUAUCAAAUAUUAUAUUGAGAUAUUUGGCUCUACAAUACAAUAUUCAAAAAGAAUACCACUGUCUUCUGUAUUUGAGCCUCUUUGGGGUGGAUUUACUGCAAAGACAAUCCCUUUCAACAAUGCUUCAACAAUGCAACACAUUUUAUUGUUUUAUUGUCUAAAAAACUGGAUGUCUCUCUGAAAUAGAGAAAUACAUACACAUGACAUUAUUAAACAGUAUUAUGGUAACACUUUACAAUAAGGUUCUAUUCGUUAACAUUAGUUAAUGAAUAAGGUAUCAUGAACAAACAAUUAACAAUAUGUUUGUUACAUAAUUUAUUAAUCUUUGUUAAUAUUAGUUAAUAAAAAUACUAUUGUUCAUUGUUAGUUCAUGUUAGUUCAUAGUGCAUUAACUAGUGUUAACAAACAACUUUUGAUUUAAAAAAUCUAUUACUGUUAGUGCUGUCGAAAGAUUCGUUUAAAGCCACACAUUUUCUUAACGCCAAUGCGUAAUAUGGCCCUUUUAAUAAACUGUAGUUUACGAGAAGCUAAUCAGUUCACGCAAAUGCCGCUAAUGUCACAUGCACUGACCGUUGGGAAAACAGAUGGCAGGAGACAUUAUGCUGAUACCUGCUUGAAGAAUUUUAUCAAUGUAGCACAGCAGUAGAACAUGCCUGCAAAGCACAGAUAGAGCUCAGAACUUUGCAACAUGAUUGCAGUGGCAAGACAGCUGCCAUUUGAACACCAGCCUUGCACUGCGAGGCACGUUCAGAAAGUUGCGAGCGCGAAGUGAAAGUGUGAGCGUGAGGCGAUAGUCUGUGUACAGCAACUGCUACCGGGUCGUUAAAUAACGUAUAAUGUGCCAGUAAAGGCAGCCGGUGGAGUUUCUGGUGCCCCCCUAGGGAGAUGGUGCGCUACACAGACUGCGUAACGUGUAUAGGGAGUGUAGGUACUGAUUACCGGCUAACGGAAACACUGCUGCUGUCUCCAAGGUUCUGUCACAUUGUCUCUGUUUGAUAGUGCACUAGCCAAUGCAGAAGUUGGAGACAUUGCUGGAACCCUGCAGGUAAUCAACUCAUUUAAUCCCACCAGUUACAAUUGUGACUGGGGUCUAAAAUUAGUUUUAAUGUAUUAAUGUAUAUUGUAAAUGACAGUGCAGACUUUUUUUGCAUGUGUCAAAACAACAUAAAAGAAGAAAAUAAAUCCUGUCAUAAUACACUUACAACUACCAUAUAUAUGAUCAUUUUCUGUUGUUCUAAUCUGUUGGUGGGGUAGGUUUUGUGUGGAUGACUGAAAAAUAUAUCUGGAUGAAGCAUAUUUUGUCCACUCAUGUUUAUAAAGAUAUUGCGAUUAAUCAUGAUUACAGUUGAAGUCAGAAGUUUACAUACACCUUAGUCAAAUACAUUUAAACUCAGUUUUUCACAAUUCCUGAUAUUUAAUCAUAGAAAACAUUCCCUGUCUUAGGUCAGUUAGAAUCACUACUUUAUUUUAAGAAUGUGAAAUGUCAGAAUAAUGGUAGAGUGUAGAGAUUGAACGAUAAUAGGUUUACGAUAUUUUUACAGAUAUUCACACCUUAUUACAUAAUCGGUUAUCGGUUUUGUAAUAUCGGUUUCAUGGAUCAAUGGCGCCAUCUUGUGGAUCCCUUGUGAACAGCAUGCAAGAGUGUCAUUACAGCACUGCCAGCAUUGGGAGACAGAUACAAUGUUGUUUAAAGGUGACACUAAGAGCGGAGAUGUGUGUGUCAUUUGCUACUGGACAGGUUGCAGACGUGCUGCUCAUUGUAAUAACAUGUUUUGACAGCACUUCACAGGAUGUACUGGAUUGCUGGCAGGGGGUGCUCCAGCGGCUAUGAGCAAAGUCAAACAAACAAAGAGCUUUUACCUGUUUAAAACAAGACGCUUCAGACAGAGGGCUGGGGGCUGUACUCUCGCAGGUGGUGGAGGGGGAGGAGCGCCCCGUGCUGUACAUUAGCCGCAAGCUCUCGCUGAGGUAGAUUAAGUAA
This is a long non-coding RNA of Myxocyprinus asiaticus (Chinese sucker), 2142 nucleotides long. RefSeq lists it as uncharacterized. The transcript is spliced from 4 exons. Lineage: Eukaryota; Metazoa; Chordata; Actinopteri; Cypriniformes; Catostomidae. The record is from RefSeq and is a predicted model, not a curated record.